ACCCCUCAUGUGUCUGCGUUGUGGUUUUCACUUAAAGAACGAAGGGACGUGGGGCCAUGCAGCGGUUUUAUUCACCUGGCACGAAUAACACAAGGUUGGGAGUCCGCAGGGCGGCACAGCUUGGAAUACAUAAGCAAUGCUAGUAUGGGGAGAGACGGAAUGUUAGCUAUUUUCACGUGUGGUUUCAAAACUUCGAUGAAAAUCCACU
Paramormyrops kingsleyae is the source of this 208-nucleotide non-coding RNA. The record is from RefSeq and is a predicted model, not a curated record. Lineage: Eukaryota; Metazoa; Chordata; Actinopteri; Osteoglossiformes; Mormyridae.